Molecule: ribosomal RNA, 496 nt
Filed under: uncultured bacterium
Lineage: Bacteria
Description: partial 16S ribosomal RNA
Rfam family: Bacterial small subunit ribosomal RNA
Source: RNAcentral
GAUGAACGCUGGCGGCGUGCCUAAUACAUGCAAGUCGAGCGAACAGAUAAGGAGCUUGCUCCUUUGACGUUAGCGGCGGACGGGUGAGUAACACGUGGGUAACCUACCUAUAAGACUGGAAUAACUCCGGGAAACCGGGGCUAAUGCCGGAUAACAUUUAGAACCGCAUGGUUCUAAAGUGAAAGAUGGUUUUGCUAUCACUUAUAGAUGGACCCGCGCCGUAUUAGCUAGUUGGUAAGGUAACGGCUUACCAAGGCAACGAUACGUAGCCGACCUGAGAGGGUGAUCGGCCACACUGGAACUGAGACACGGUCCAGACUCCUACGGGAGGCAGCAGUAGGGAAUCUUCCGCAAUGGGCGAAAGCCUGACGGAGCAACGCCGCGUGAGUGAUGAAGGUCUGCGGAUCGUAAAACUCUGUUAUUAGGGAAGAACAAAUGUGUAAGUAACUGUGCACGUCUUGACGGUACCUAAUCAGAAAGCCACGGCUAACUACGU